Molecule: long non-coding RNA, 328 nt
Filed under: Cricetulus griseus (Chinese hamster)
Lineage: Eukaryota; Metazoa; Chordata; Mammalia; Rodentia; Cricetidae
Description: lncRNA (ENSCGRG00000024799.1)
Source: RNAcentral
GGAUGAUUCAUGUUCUUAGAAGCACGUAUGAAUUGUCUCUGGUGGAACCCCAUUGAUUGUCAUUUGGGGACAGAUGGCCGCAUCAUAUCUAAGCUCACCAGGGCAUUCCCGUCUCCUCUGCGCUGGCAGUCUGAAGUUUUACUGGCUUCCUCAUUGCCUCGUGUGCAAAUGAGAGCCUGGGGGCUCACCCCUGCUCUAUGGGAACUGUCAAGAAGUUUGGGUCUGGAUGCUCCCACAAUGGAACCACACACACCUUCCAGUCUAGAUUCUUCUCUAUAGACACACAGCUGAAGUUACUUGGCCCUUCAAGUCCUCAGCCCUACCGUCA